UUUUUCUUUUUUUUCUUUUUUUUUUGAGACACGGUCUCACUCUGCCCCCUGGGCUGGAGUAGAAUGGCACGAUAAUAGCUCACUGAAGCCUCAACCUCCCAAGCUAAAGCAAUCUCCUCACCUCAGCCUCUUGAGCAGCUGGGACCACAGGUGCACGCCACCACGCCUGGCUAACUUUUGUAUUUUUGUAGAGAUGGGGUUUCACAAUGUUGCCCAGGCUGGUCUCGAACUCCUAGGCUCAAGCAAUCCACCUGCCUCAACCUCCCAAAGUGCUGGGACUACAGGCGAGAGCCACUGUGCCUGGCCCCACGUGCAUCUCUUUAAUUAGGGAGGAAAGUAUUUUCCUGAAGCUGCCUGAAGAUAUCCCCUUACAAGUCCCAAGUCAAAACUGGGUCAGGGAGCCCUCUACACAGCAUCUGCUACACCCCAUUUCUAGUUCAUAAGAUCCACUGAUGUCCCAGUGGAUUAGGCAUUGGGUCACUUGGAAACCAUUCCCCUCUAUCCCUACUCCUCCCGUGCAGUCUUUAAGUACCUCUGUUGGUUAUCUUUUUAAUUUCAAGAAACUUACUUGCCCCUUCGUUCCUUAUUCCACCACAUGCCCACAGAAGCUCUUGCCUCCCCACUAUUGUCCCUGUCAGCCUUCCUACCCUCUUCCCUUCACUGCUACCUCCCAACUUUUAUAUCUUUACUUUCACAUUGUGACAGAUGAUAACGCUGACAUUCCAUUCUGCAACCAUAAUAAAAUUCAGGUCAAUACAAAAGUUGAAUAUUAAUGAAAACUAGAAAGAUAACAUUUUCAUUAUUUGAGACAACUAUACCAUAUAUUUCCUUUGGGUACCUAUAUAUGUAAGUUUUUAGAAACGUCUAGAAAAGUACACAUUGAGCCCAUUACUGUGGUUACCUCUGGAGAGGAGGAAGGGAAUAGGGUGGCAAUGGGUGGCCCAAAGGGACUCUAGCUUCAUCUGCAAUGUUCUCUUUUUUUAAAAAGCGGAAUGUAUUCAUGUUUUGCUUGUGUCAUUUGACUGCAAUUUUCAAAAAAAUUCCUAUUCAUUUUCAGGCAAUUAUGUGGGCUCCGUGUGUUUGGAUGUGCUUGAGUGUUUGUGCCCAGGGAGGAGGACUAUUUACUUUGUGUGUGCCUGUGAAUGCAGUAGAGUGAUUAGUAAGUAGAUAAAAAAGAAAUGUAGCAAGCCAAAGCAAAACAAAAAAGGGGGCUGGAGAGAACUAAUUCACAACAAUAAUAAAAACUAUAGGAAUAAACCCAUUAGGAAAUGGGCAAGUUCUUUAUGGGGAGAACAACAGUGUAUGAGUGAAGGACAUACAAGCUAUUAAGAAUAAAUGUAGAGCUCUACUGUAUUCAUGAAUUCAAAGGCUCGGUAUUAUAUUGAUGUCAAUUUCUCCAACUUGACAAGCUGGCUUUACAAUUCAUGUGGAGAAGUUAGUGUGUGGUUCUAGUUAGGUAAGAAAGCUGAGAAGGAAAUUAGUGUGUGGUACUAGUUAGCUAAGAGAGCUGAGAAGGAAGCACAACGAAACAUGGCAUUUUACUUCACAGAUACCAAGAGGUGGAAUAGCAAAGAAAAUAGUCUUGUACUGAAAGGAAUACAUGGAUUGUUGGGAAAAACAGGAGCUUCAGACCCACCUGACUCAGAAUAUGAGGGAGUUUUACUUCGGAUCACAGGGGAAAGGAAGAACUAGUCAACCCCCCACACUGCGAUAAUUGGCUGCCCGUUUGGAGAAAGGUUAGAGCAUACAUCAAUAUGAUCAUCAAAAUAUACUCCAGAUGCAUUAAAGAACCAAAUAAAAACAAAAUUAUAAAAGUAUUAGAAAAGAAGAAAUAAUAUAUUUAAAUAUUAGGAGUAGGGAAGGACUAAAUAUGGUAUCCGUAUAAAAAAAGAUCAAAGGAAAAGAUUGACAAAUUGGAUUAUGUCAAAACUGAUAACUUCUAACAAAAGAUUCUACAAAGAGUUAAAGGCAAUGACAAGCUGGAAGAAAAUAUUUGUCACAUAUCUACAAAAGAUCAAUAUCCAGAUUACAUUAGAAAACUCCACAAGCCAGUGGGAUAAAGACAACCUAAUGUUUAAAAUGAGAAAAAAUAACAGGCAGUUCAGAAAAGAGAAAAUACAAAUGCUCAAUAUACAUAUGAAAAUCUCACAAGCAAACAGGAAAAUACAAAUUUUAAAAAGGAUUCAAUUUUUCACCCAUGAGAUUGGCAAAUAUUUAAAACAACCGCCUACGGCUGUGGGGAUUAUAGCCCUCUCAUACCCUCUGGCUGGAAGCUUAAAUGGCACAGAAAUCAUGGAGGACACUGGUAGUGUCUGCUAAAACUAAAACUGUGGACAUCUUGAGACCCAGCAUUCCAUUUCUCUAUCACUCCCAGAGAUAUCCCACCACAGAGGAACAUGCAAUGUGGUUUCUGCAGCACUGCUCAUGAUGGAGGAAACAAAAAGAAGCAAUUAAAUGUCCAUGGAGCUUACAGAAGAUAAAAUGUGGUACAUUCAUGGGAAUGAAUACAAUAUAGCUAUUAAAGGCGAAAGCUAUGUGUAGCAAUAGGAGUAUAUUGUAAAAAUGUAAGACUGAGUGAAAAAAACCUGCAGCUUAUAGUAAAAUCCCUAUAAUGUGGUAUGACUCAUUGAAAAUACAUCAGGACUAUGUGUUACUGUGGAUGGAGACACAUAAAACUGUGGAGGGGGUGGGAAAUGAGGACUCCAGAGGGUGGUCAAAGGGGACUACAGUUAUAUUCAUAUUGUCCUACUUUUAAAACGGAGAAUGUAUGCACACUUUGCUUGUUUAAUUAAAGUAUAAUUUGAAAAGAUUCUAAUUUGUUUUCAGUCAAUUAUGCUGCUUCUGUGUGUUUGGCUGUGCUCAAAUGUUUGUGCCCAGGGAGGAAGAACAUUUACUUUGUGUGUCUGUGAAUCAAGCACAGUGAUUAGUAAACAGGUUGAAAUGGGAUAUGAAAAAACAAGGGCCAAACAAACAAGAGCAGAGGGCAAUCUACUCACAGUUAACAGCAAAACCUAUAAUAUACCUAGGAAUGAAUUCAACAAGAAAUAUGCCAGGCUCUAACCAGAGAAAACCAUAAAACUGUCCUGAAAGAUGUAAAAGAUGACCUGAAUUGAGAGUAGAGCAAUGUGCUGUGGUAGGAAGGCUCUAUAUGAUAAAGAUGUCAGUUUUCCUUAAAUUUAUUCAUAAACUCAGGCCAGGUACAGUGGCUCAC
RNAcentral lists this long non-coding RNA (3211 nucleotides) under Macaca fascicularis (crab-eating macaque). RNAcentral's name for it is "lncRNA (ENSMFAG00000049285.1)". Lineage: Eukaryota; Metazoa; Chordata; Mammalia; Primates; Cercopithecidae. The record is from RNAcentral.